GAGAUUGGUAUUGGUACUCCCCCUCAGAAGUUUACCGUUGUUUUUGACACUGGUAGUUCAAAUUUGUGGGUUCCAUCAUCCAAGUGCUUCUCUGUUGCUUGUCUACUCCAUUCCAAGUACAAGUCAAAGCGUUCAAGUACUUAUAAAAAGAAUGGUAAACCUGCUUCGAUCAAGUAUGGGACUGGUGCUAUUUCUGGCUACUUUAGUGAAGACAAUGUUCAAGUUGGUGACCUUAUAGUUAAGAAACAGGAUUUUAUUGAGGCAACUAGGGAACCCAGCCUCACGUUUGUACUUG
This 295-nucleotide unclassified non-coding RNA is filed under the name Hevea brasiliensis (rubber tree). Lineage: Eukaryota; Viridiplantae; Streptophyta; Magnoliopsida; Malpighiales; Euphorbiaceae. The record is from RNAcentral.